This 468-nucleotide ribosomal RNA is filed under the name uncultured bacterium. RNAcentral describes it as "partial 16S ribosomal RNA". It matches the Rfam family "Bacterial small subunit ribosomal RNA", at positions 28 to 507 of the family's 1533-position model. The record is from RNAcentral.
GGCGAACGCUGGCGGCGUGCUUAACACAUGCAAGUCGAACGGAAAGGCCCUGCUUUUGUGGGGUGCUCGAGUGGCGAACGGGUGAGUAACACGUGAGUAACCUGCCCUUGACUUUGGGAUAACUUCAGGAAACUGGGGCUAAUACCGGCUAGGAGCUCCUGCUGCAUGGUGGGGGUUGGAAAGUUUCGGCGGUUGGGGAUGGACUCGCGGCUUAUCAGCUUGUUGGUGGGGUAGUGGCUUACCAAGGCUUUGACGGGUAGCCGGCCUGAGAGGGUGACCGGCCACAUUGGGACUGAGAUACGGCCCAGACUCCUACGGGAGGCAGCAGUGGGGAAUAUUGCACAAUGGGCGGAAGCCUGAUGCAGCAACGCCGCGUGCGGGAUGACGGCCUUCGGGUUGUAAACCGCUUUCGCCUGUGACGAAGCGUGAGUGACGGUAAUGGGUAAAGAAGCACCGGCUAACUACGUG